GUCGAACGAUGAACCUCACUUGUGGGGGGAUUAGUGGCGAACGGGUGAGUAACACGUGAGUAACCUGCCCUUGACUCUGGGAUAAGCCUGGGAAACCGGGUCUAAUACUGGAUACGACCUUCUGGCGCAUGCCAUGUUGGUGGAAAGCUUUUGUGGUUUUGGAUGGACUCGCGGCCUAUCAGCUUGUUGGUGGGGUAAUGGCCUACCAAGGCGACGACGGGUAGCCGGCCUGAGAGGGUGACCGGCCACACUGGGACUGAGACACGGCCCAGACUCCUACGGGAGGCAGCAGUGGGGAAUAUUGCACAAUGGGCGCAAGCCUGAUGCAGCGACGCCGCGUGAGGGAUGAAGGCCUUCGGGUUGUAAACCUCUUUCAGUAGGGAAGAAGCGAAAGUGACGGUACCUGCAGAAGAAGCGCCGGCUAACUACGUGCCAGCAGCCGCGGUAAUACGUAGGGCGCAAGCGUUAUCCGGAAUUAUUGGGCGUAAAGAGCUCGUAGGCGGUUUGUCGCGUCUGCCGUGAAAGUCCGGGGCUUAACUCCGGAUCUGCGGUGGGUACGGGCAGACUAGAGUGCAGUAGGGGAGACUGGAAUUCCUGGUGUAGCGGUGAAAUGCGCAGAUAUCAGGAGGAACACCGAUGGCGAAGGCAGGUCUCUGGGCUGUAACUGACGCUGAGGAGCGAAAGCAUGGGGAGCGAACAGGAUUAGAUACCCUGGUAGUCCAUGCCGUAAACGUUGGGCACUANGUGUGGGGGACAUUCCACG
This 763-nucleotide ribosomal RNA is filed under the name Arthrobacter sp. H59. RNAcentral's name for it is "bacterial SSU rRNA". It matches the Rfam family "Bacterial small subunit ribosomal RNA", at positions 61 to 845 of the family's 1533-position model. Lineage: Bacteria; Bacillati; Actinomycetota; Actinomycetes; Micrococcales; Micrococcaceae. The record is from RNAcentral.